RNA transcript from Ananas comosus (pineapple), 2118 nucleotides. It is a transcript of the gene named U-box domain-containing protein 6-like, with no coding region annotated. The transcript has 5 exons. NCBI's taxonomy places the organism in Eukaryota, Viridiplantae, Streptophyta, Magnoliopsida, Poales, Bromeliaceae. The record is from RefSeq and is a predicted model, not a curated record.
UGAUUCCUCAGUUUAAUUCUUUUGUUGUUCUAUUAAGUGCCCAUUUUCACUUUGAUGUUUUGUUUAUAACAUAGGAUUUUUUUUUUUUUCUUCCUCUUUAUUGAUGCAUGGGUUUGUGGAAAUUUUCCCUUUUUUUUCCCCUCUCAUUCCCCUCAUUUUUUUCCCCUUAUUUAUCUGUGUAUAUGUGGUUAAACUAUUCUCUCAUAGCAUGAAUUUUUAGAGAAAAUUUAGUAUUGAAAUUAUUUAGUGGGUUUUGAUGCAUACCUCAGUAGUGGGUCUAGCUUAGUAUUAACAGUAGAUUUUUUUUUCUUUAUAUAUUUAUAUAUACAUAUUUAUUGAAAUGAAAAUUAAUUACAGAGAAUUAAAUUCACUUGAGGGGUAAUUAACUCUGAAGCUACUUCUAGAGUUAUGUAAUCACUGGUUUCUUGUUUCUACAGCUCUAUUUCUUCUAGUUUAUACAUAGUUCUUGCUCUUGAGCUCAUUUAUUUGUACAUAAUGGUUGAAAAUUGAGCUAAAUUUACCUUAUAAAUACAGUAAAAUAAUUGAAGUUUGGAAGAUACUCAUAGAUCAAAAUUUCAAUCUUUACGGGUCUCUGACUAAAGAGUAACCGUUAUUCUCCGAAAGCUUAAGCAAUCAAAGAACAGUAUUUUAAUAUUUUUAUAUCCAGGACUCAUCUUCACGUUUGGGCUCGAGAUAUUUUUGGAAGUCCCAAGAUGUGAAAAUUGACUCAAACUCACGACCUCCUGUUCCGAUACUACGCAAAAGAAUAUAAAAUUAAUGUUGUUCACUGAAAGCUUAACCUAAAAGAGAACAGUAUUUUAAUAUUUUACGAUCAAUACUUGCAGAUAAAGAUCAUCUUUGUUAGAUUUUUAUGUGAUGGAGAGUGGUUUGGAUGAAAUGGAGCUGAUAAAUUCUUGUGGUGCAAAAGUAGGUACUCUAGCUUGUUGCACUUGUGGUUUGUUCCUAGUUUAAUUGUUCAUGUACCACUCACUGAUCUCAAUUUUAGGUCCAUGAUUCUAUAUGCUUAGAGCUUGCAAAGUUGUUGGAUAAAGCUGCUUUGAUUAUCCCCACAAUCGAAUCGGCUCGACCCGGAGGCAGAUUGGGGAUACAGGAAUUGUGCUCUUUAAACAACACUGUUGAGAAGGGCAAGCUCAUCCUUCAACACUGCACUGAAUGUAGCAAGCUUUACUUAGCGAUUACUGGAGAAUCAAUUUUAUCGAGAUGCGAGAGGAUAAGGAACUCGCUGAAUCAAAGCUUGUGUCAGAUUCAAAAUUUGGUACCACCUCUAGUAGGUGCUAAGAUUACUGAAGUUCUUGAUUAUCUUCGAGACGCGAAGUUUAUCAUUAAUUCGACAGAAGAGGAGGCUGGAAAAGCCCUUCUCGAACUGCUCCGUCAGACCGAUUCGGGCGAAGAGCACGAAUUCGCGACAUUCCAAAUUGUAGCUUCCAAACUAAGCCUCACUUCUCCAAGAGACAUUUCGAUCGAGAGAAGAUCCACGAAGAAUCUACUCGACAAGUUCCGCGGCGCCGAUCCCCAAAAAGAAAAAAUCCUGAAGUAUUUUCUGUACCUUUUGAAAAAGUACGGGAAUAACAUUAGUUCAGAGAGUAGCAACUGUGAAACCAAACAAUUCGGGGCUCGAAUUGAUUAGUUGGUUACUAUUAAAUACAUUGAGAAGCUGAGGAACUUAUUCUGCGAUUCGCAACACAUGCAUGAAAGAUCCUAUUCUCUGUAUCUGAAUUCGAAGAUAAAUGGAGUGUUAGAGUUCCGAAAAUACGGGUUUUUUUCGCAGCUGUUUUUGAUGGGAUCUCUGAACUUCCAAUGCAAGUCCAAGACAAGGUUUGAGAAGAUGUCGAAAUUCUGCCGGAAUUCUAUGCUGUCGGAUGGAUUUGCAGAAGCACUGAUAUGUGGUUUCUGAGGAAUUUUUUUCGCAAUCUGUCGAAAUGUGCAGAUGCAUAAAGCUGGAUCUUAGCAAGAACAGUUAUGCACCAGAGGAAUAGAUCACUUACUAGAGGUGAGAUUGAUGCAUUUUGGAAAUCCAAGAAGGCUGAAGAAGAAGACAUGAAGGAAAUUUCCACUCAAAUAAGUCAAAAUCAGGGGAACAUAAGUGAAGGGUAUGGG